GGUUGCGAUCAUACCAGCACUAAUGCACCGGAUCCAUCAGAACUCCGCAGUUAAGCGUGCUUGGGCGAGAGUAGUACUAGGAUGGGUGACCCCUGGGAAGUCCUCGUGUUGCAACCC
Helianthus annuus (common sunflower) is the source of this 117-nucleotide non-coding RNA. The record is from Rfam. Lineage: Eukaryota; Viridiplantae; Streptophyta; Magnoliopsida; Asterales; Asteraceae.